RNA transcript from Spinacia oleracea (spinach), 1603 nucleotides. RefSeq lists it as uncharacterized. NCBI's taxonomy places the organism in Eukaryota, Viridiplantae, Streptophyta, Magnoliopsida, Caryophyllales, Amaranthaceae. The record is from RefSeq and is a predicted model, not a curated record. The transcript has 7 exons.
AGGCGUCUAAUUGCAGCCUCCUCCCAAUGUACGCGCUGCGUGACUUUUCUACUUCCUCUCCCUAGAACUCCUUCCAUUCAAACCCUAGAAUUCUAUCUCUUUGUUUCGUCCAAAUCGUUCCAUGGGAUUUCGAAAAAGAAGCUUCGAUCUGGUUCCUUCCAACUCCUCUCGUCCCAAAUUUCAACCCCGAUCUACAGAGAGAUAAAGAGAUGGCGGAUGAGAGAGAGGACGUCGAACUCGUACUUUGCUUGAAGUUCUACCUUCACUUCGUCAAUUGUGGUGAUUUUCGUGUGCAGAUUGUUAUUGAAUAUUCAGAAGAAUGGAGUUUACGGAUGCUUAUAAGCAGACUGGGCCCUGCUGUUUUUCUCCCCAAUGCUCGCUACAUUGCUGCUGCAGUUGAUUAUCGUCUGGUGGUUCGAGACACUCGGUCAUUUAAGUGGGCUCUGAACGCUGCGAAAUUAUAAAAAAAAUCCUCCACUGCAGAAUUGCUCCAUCGAUGGGGAAAGGCGAUAUGGAGCAGCUGACCUUUGAAUUGAACCAUGAUUCUUCCAGUUUGUUGCUUCACCUACGGCAAGAUAAACACUGAGCUACUCAAGGGAAAAACUGAAAUGCUGGAGGAGUAUUUCUGCAUUUAUGUUGAUCCACAAGGGAAUUUGUCCAGGAUUCCUGUCAUACUUGAUCAGAUCGUGUUCCAGAAUUUGUUCUUUGUCCAGGCAAUGAUCUACCAAUCUGUUCAAGAUGCUUCUCAAGUAUAGGCCAGAGGAUAAAGCUGCAAAGGAGGAGCAUAUUCUGAAGAAGGCUCAGCUUGAUCGAGGCUGAAGGAAAGAGUCUAGAGUCCAGCAAUAAAUCCAUAGUUGGGAAAAAGGUGAAGCGGUUCACGAGAGACCUGCUGAAUUGAAAUUGUAUGGUGAUGUUAAUAGUUUUGGAUAGUGCUCAAGAAUCCAUAGUCGACUGCAAGGCCUUACACCAGACUUUGAUGCUUUGGAUGUUGCAAUCAAGAUCGGAAUUAUCUAAACUCUGUAUUUUGAUUUAUCUUGUUAGAAACACAAUUACAGUUUAAUGCUCAGAAUUAUUAAGAAAAAGUAAUGGAGGCUAGUGUACCUAGUACCAACGUAUCAUUCCUGCAUUGAUUCUUUUUUUUUUUGUAAAAAUAAAUGUACUAUUUGCAGCGCGCAUUGUGAAGUAAAGGCUGCAAAUAGUGUUAGAAAUUUAACUUUAAAAUCUCUUUUUUGCAGCGCCCACGUACUGUCAAAAGUUGCAAAAAGCCACUUUUUGCAGCUCGGGUGAACACAAGACGCGUUGCAAUUAACGUCUUUUUGCAGCGUUUGUGUUCGCUGCAAUUAAAUACCCAUUAUUUGCAGCCCUCACAAUUGCAGCGCGCAAUAACGCUGCAAAAAGCCCAAUUUAGGCGCGCUGCAAAUAAGGUUUUUUCUACUAGUGUAUGUAGGAAUCGAACUACAUCCCCUAUGCAUUAGCAUAGUGCUCUACCAGUUGAGCUAAUAGGUUUUCAGUAAACAUUUAAGAGAAAAAUAUAAUUGAUGUAAAUACAUCAUUUUGCAGAUCAAAAGUGAACAAACAAACAUCAACACCAACUAAGCACCAA